UAGUCCACGCCGUAAACGAUGAUUACUCGAUAUUGGCCUCCGGGCCAGUGUCCAAGCGAAAGUGAUAAGUAAUCCACCUGGGGAGUACGGUCGCAAGACUGAAACUCAAAGGAAUUGACGGGGCCCGCACAAGCGGUGGAGCAUGUGGUUUAAUUCGAUGAUACGCGAGGAACCUUACCAGGGCUUAAAUGUAAGUUGCAUGAUUUAGAGAUAGAUCUUUCUUCGGACUACUUACAAGGUGCUGCAUGGUUGUCGUCAGCUCGUGCCGUGAGGUGUCAGGUUAAGUCCUAUAACGAGCGCAACCCCUACCGUUAGUUGCCAGCAUGUUAUGAUGGGGACUCUAGCGGGACUGCCGGUGCAAACCGAGAGGAAGGUGGGGAUGACGUCAAAUCAUCACGGCCCUUACGUCCUGGGGCUACACACGUGCUACAAUGGGUCGGUACAGAGGGGCA
This 452-nucleotide ribosomal RNA is filed under the name uncultured bacterium. RNAcentral describes it as "bacterial SSU rRNA". It matches the Rfam family "Bacterial small subunit ribosomal RNA", at positions 791 to 1249 of the family's 1533-position model. The record is from RNAcentral.